CUGGUUGAUCCUGCCAGAGGUUACUGCUAUCGAGGUUCGACUAAGCCAUGCGAGUCGAAUGUAGCAAUACAUGGCGUACUGCUCAGUAACACGUGGACAACCUGCCCUUAGGUCGGGUAUAAACCCGGGAAACUGGGUAUAAUCCCCGAUAGGUCUCGGCUGCUGGAAUGCAUCGAGAUUUAAAGCUCCGGCGCCUAAGGAUGGGUCUGCGGCCUAUCAGGUAGUAGUGGGUGUAGCGUACCUACUAGCCUACGACGGGUACGGGUUGUGAGAGCAAGAGCCCGGAGAUGGAUUCUGAGACACGAAUCCAGGCCCUACGGGGUGCAGCAGGCGCGAAAACUUUACAAUGCUGGCAACAGCGAUAAGGGAACCUCGAGUGCCAGGUUACAAAUCUGGCUGUCGAGAUGCCUAAAAAGCAUUUCAUAGCAAGGGCCGGGCAAGACCGGUGCCAGCCGCCGCGGUAACACCGGCGGCUCGAGUGGUAACCGUUAUUAUUGGGUCUAAAGGGUCUGUAGCCGGCCGGAUAAGUCUCUUGAGAAAUCUGGCAGCUUAACUGUCAGGCUUUCAGGAGAUACUGUCUGGCUCGAGGCCGGGAGAGGUGAGAGGUACUUCAGGGGUAGGGGUGAAAUCUUGUAAUCCUUGAAGGACCACCAGUGGCGAAGGCGUCUCACCAGAACGGACCUGGCGGCAAGGGACGAAAGCUAGGGGCACGAACCGGAUUAGAUACCCGGGUAGUCCUAGCCGUAAACGAUACUCGCUAGGUGUCGGCCACGGUGCGACCGUUGUCGGUGCCGUAGGGAAGCUGUGAAGCGAGCCACCUGGGAAGUACGGCCGCAAGGCUGAAACUUAAAGGAAUUGGCGGGGGAGCACCAC
RNAcentral lists this ribosomal RNA (873 nucleotides) under uncultured archaeon. RNAcentral's name for it is "bacterial SSU rRNA". It matches the Rfam family "Archaeal small subunit ribosomal RNA", at positions 4 to 882 of the family's 1478-position model. The record is from RNAcentral.